Long non-coding RNA from Homo sapiens (human), 577 nucleotides. Ensembl annotates it as ZNF350 antisense RNA 1. Its record names the gene ZNF350-AS1. Lineage: Eukaryota; Metazoa; Chordata; Mammalia; Primates; Hominidae. The record is from Ensembl.
AAUACGAGGCCGAGGGAGGAAUUCUGUCGUCUGGGAACGGCUGGUUUCGCGGUCAGACGCCGAGGGCCCUCGAAGUCCCUAGCAACGGCUGCGGAGGGAGAUUCCACCUAGGUCCGUGCAGGUUACAAAUGGCAACCAGAACAGGGACUCCAAGCACGCCCAACUAGCAGCAUCCAAACAUGGGACUUCAAGGACGUGAAUGAAGAAGGUCUGCUGGAGCAGAGGAACUGAAAUUGACAAGGCGAAAGGGGACCCUGGGAAGAGUCUGCCGGCAGCAGAUAUAAGGUCAGUGCCCUAAAGAGGUACUGGGAGCAGUGCUUUAAAGAAGUACUGGGAAGUUUUCUGACUCAGGGUAACAAGGGAAAGAAUUUGUCUAUUGAAGAAAAACAUUAUGUGCAGUUGCUUAAAGUUCUGUUGAGACAGUCUGCAGCUCAGGUUAAUUCGCAGACACUAACCUCCUGCAGAAGCCACAAAAGGUUAUUACACAUAACCCAUCGUUUCCACAGGCAGGCACUCUUGAUGUGGAAAAUUGGGAUACAGCAGGAGAAGGAUUAAAACAGGCUCAUCAAAAAGGUCU